RNAcentral lists this ribosomal RNA (1366 nucleotides) under uncultured bacterium. Its description in RNAcentral is "bacterial SSU rRNA". It matches the Rfam family "Bacterial small subunit ribosomal RNA". The record is from RNAcentral.
GAGUUUGAUCCUGGCUCAGGACGAACGCUGGCGGCGCGCCUAACACAUGCAAGUCGAACGAGCAAAGAGGAGCUUGCUUCUCUGAGCGAGUGGCGAACGGGUGAGUAACGCGUGAGGAACCUGCCUCAAAGAGGGGGACAACAGUUGGAAACGACUGCUAAUACCGCAUAAGCCCACGGGUCGGCAUCGACCAGAGGGAAAAGGAGUGAUCCGCUUUGAGAUGGCCUCGCGUCCGAUUAGCUAGUUGGUGAGGUAACGGCCCACCAAGGCGACGAUCGGUAGCCGGACUGAGAGGUUGAACGGCCACAUUGGGACUGAGACACGGCCCAGACUCCUACGGGAGGCAGCAGUGGGGAAUAUUGCACAAUGGGGGAAACCCUGAUGCAGCGACGCCGCGUGGAGGAAGAAGGUCUUCGGAUUGUAAACUCCUGUUGUUGAGGAAGAUAAUGACGGUACUCAACAAGGAAGUGACGGCUAACUACGUGCCAGCAGCCGCGGUAAAACGUAGGUCACAAGCGUUGUCCGGAAUUACUGGGUGUAAAGGGAGCGCAGGCGGGAAGACAAGUUGGAAGUGAAAUCCAUGGGCUCAACCCAUGAACUGCUUUCAAAACUGUUUUCUUGAGUAGUGCAGAGGUAGGCGGAAUUCCCGGUGUAGCGGUGGAAUGCGUAGAUAUCGGGAGGAACACCAGUGGCGAAAGCGGCCUACUGGGCACCAACUGACGCUGAGGCUCGAAAGUGUGGGUAGCAAACAGGAUUAGAUACCCUGGUAGUCCACACCGUAAACGAUGAUUACUAGGUGUUGGAGGAUUGACCCCUUCAGUGCCGCAGCUAACACAAUAAGUAAUCCACCUGGGGAGUACGACCGCAAGGUUGAAACUCAAAGGAAUUGACGGGGGCCCGCACAAGCAGUGGAGUAUGUGGUUUAAUUCGACGCAACGCGAAGAACCUUACCAAGUCUUGACAUCCUGCGACGGACAUAGAAAUAUGUCUUUCCUUCGGGACGCAGAGACAGGUGGUGCAUGGUUGUCGUCAGCUCGUGUCGUGAGAUGUUGGGUUAAGUCCCGCAACGAGCGCAACCCUUAUGGUCAGUUACUACGCAAGAGGACUCUGGCCAGACUGCCGUUGACAAAACGGAGGAAGGUGGGGAUGACGUCAAAUCAUCAUGCCCUUUAUGACUUGGGCUACACACGUACUACAAUGGCGUUAAACAAAGAGAAGCAAGACCGCGAGGUGGAGCAAAACUCAGAAACAACGUCCCAGUUCGGACUGCAGGCUGCAACUCGCCUGCACGAAGUCGGAAUUGCUAGUAAUCGUGGAUCAGCAUGCCACGGUGAAUACGUUCCCGGGCCUUGACACACCGCCCGUC